GAUUAGGGUUCGAUUCCGGAGAGGGAGCCUGAGAAACGGCUACCACAUCCAAGGAAGGCAGCAGGCGCGCAAAUUACCCAAUCCCGACACGGGGAGGUAGUGACAAUAAAUAACAAUACCGGGCCUUUGGUCUGGUAAUUGGAAUGAGUACAGUUUAAAUCUCUUAACGAGGAACAAUUGGAGGGCAAGUCUGGUGCCAGCAGCCGCGGUAAUUCCAGCUCCAAUAGCGUAUAUUAAAGUUGUUGCAGUUAAAAAGCUCGUAGUUGAAUUUCGGGGUUGGUAGGUUGGUCAUGCCUCUGGUAUGUACUGGUCUCACUGAUUCCUCCUUCCUUAUGAACCGUAAUGCCAUUAAUUUGGUGUUGCGGGGAAUUUGGACCGUUACUUUGAAAAAAUUAGAGUGUUUAAAGCAAGCUAACGCUUGAAUACAUUAGCAUGGAAUAAUGAAAUAGGACGUUCGAUCUUAUUUUGUUGGUUUCUAGGAUUGACGUAAUGAUUAAUAGGGAUAGUUGGGGGCAUUAGUAUUCAAUUGUCAGAGGUGAAAUUCUUGGAUUUAU
Molecule: ribosomal RNA, 554 nt
Filed under: uncultured Rhizophagus
Lineage: Eukaryota; Fungi; Glomeromycota; Glomeromycetes; Glomerales; Glomeraceae
Description: SSU rRNA
Rfam family: Eukaryotic small subunit ribosomal RNA
Source: RNAcentral